RNAcentral lists this transfer RNA (75 nucleotides) under Bryobacterales bacterium. Its description in RNAcentral is "tRNA-Met". It matches the Rfam family "tRNA". Rfam says of the family: Transfer RNA (tRNA) molecules are approximately 80 nucleotides in length. Their secondary structure includes four short double-helical elements and three loops (D, anti-codon, and T loops). Further hydrogen bonds mediate the characteristic L-shaped molecular structure. tRNAs have two regions of fundamental functional importance: the anti-codon, which is responsible for specific mRNA codon recognition, and the 3' end, to which the tRNAs corresponding amino acid is attached (by aminoacyl-tRNA synthetases). tRNAs cope with the degeneracy of the genetic code in two manners: having more than one tRNA (with a specific anti-codon) for a particular amino acid; and 'wobble' base-pairing, i.e. permitting non-standard base-pairing at the 3rd anti-codon position. The record is from RNAcentral. Lineage: Bacteria; Pseudomonadati; Acidobacteriota; Terriglobia; Bryobacterales.
UGUGUAUAGCUCAAUCGGGUAGGGCAGCAGACUCAUAAUCUGCGGGUUGCGGGUUCGACUCCCGUUACACAGCCA